UCAGGCAACGAACGAGACCCUUGCAUCUAGUUGCCAGCAGAUCCCUUCGGGAUGCUGGGUACCCUAGAUGGACCGCCACUGCUAAAGUGGAGGAAGGAGAGGGCGACGGUAGGUCAGUAUGCCCCGAAUCUCCCGGGCUACACGCGGCCUACAAUGGACAGGACAAUGGGCUCCGAUCCCGAAGGAAGCAAUCCUUAAACCUGUUCUUAGUUCGGAUUGAGGGCUGUAACUCGCCCUCAUGAAGCUGGAAUCUCUAGUAAUCGCGUGUCAUCAUCGCGCGGUGAAUACGUCCCUGCUCCUU
Molecule: ribosomal RNA, 301 nt
Filed under: uncultured Thermoplasmata archaeon
Lineage: Archaea; Methanobacteriati; Thermoplasmatota; Thermoplasmata
Description: bacterial SSU rRNA
Rfam family: Archaeal small subunit ribosomal RNA
Source: RNAcentral